GACGAACGCUGGCGGCGUGCCUAAUACAUGCAAGUAGAACGCUGAAGGAGGAGCUUGCUUCUCUGGAUGAGUUGCGAACGGGUGAGUAACGCGUAGGUAACCUGCCUGGUAGCGGGGGAUAACUAUUGGAAACGAUAGCUAAUACCGCAUAAUAGUAGAUGUUGCAUGACAUUUGCUUAAAAGGUGCAAUUGCAUCACUACCAGAUGGACCUGCGUUGUAUUAGCUAGUUGGUGGGGUAACGGCUCACCAAGGCGACGAUACAUAGCCGACCUGAGAGGGUGAUCGGCCACACUGGGACUGAGACACGGCCCAGACUCCUACGGGAGGCAGCAGUAGGGAAUCUUCGGCAAUGGACGGAAGUCUGACCGAGCAACGCCGCGUGAGUGAAGAAGGUUUUCGGAUCGUAAAGCUCUGUUGUAAGAGAAGAACGAGUGUGAGAGUGGAAAGCUCACACUGUGACGGUAUCUUACCAGAAAGGGACGGCUAACUACGUG
Molecule: ribosomal RNA, 495 nt
Filed under: uncultured bacterium
Lineage: Bacteria
Description: partial 16S ribosomal RNA
Rfam family: Bacterial small subunit ribosomal RNA
Source: RNAcentral